Molecule: ribosomal RNA, 285 nt
Filed under: uncultured bacterium
Lineage: Bacteria
Description: partial 16S ribosomal RNA
Rfam family: Bacterial small subunit ribosomal RNA
Source: RNAcentral
UUUGCCUACGGGGCGCAGCAGUGAGGAAUAUUGGUCAAUGGGCUUACGCCUGAACCAGCCAAGUCGCGUGAGGGAAGACUGCCCUAUGGGUUGUAAACCUCUUUUGUCAGGGAGCAUUUGGCGCUACGUGUAGCGUUAUCGAGAGUACCUGAAGAAAAAGCAUCGGCUAACUCCGUGCCAGCAGCCGCGGUAAUACGGAGGAUGCGAGCGUUAUCCGGAUUUAUUGGGUUUAAAGGGUGCGUAGGCGGAAUGCCAAGUCGGUGGUAAAAUCGUGGGGCUCAACCU